AAUGUCGUAAAAGCGCCAGGACCAUUCCGUGAACGGGUGAAAAGGAAUGGUUGACGAGGUGGAGGUUUAUCGAGUUUUCGGCGGAUGCCUCCCGGCAGCGGGCCGCUGCCGUAGGGCUGUCCGACAAAACGUCUGGGAAACCUGACGCACAAUAGGACAGCACGGUCUCUU
This 171-nucleotide non-coding RNA is filed under the name Aneurinibacillus sp. XH2. RNAcentral describes it as "glmS glucosamine-6-phosphate activated ribozyme aptamer". It matches the Rfam family "glmS glucosamine-6-phosphate activated ribozyme aptamer". Rfam says of the family: This entry contains a glucosamine-6-phosphate activated ribozyme that is found in the mRNA for GlmS. GlmS is an enzyme that uses fructose-6-phosphate and glutamine to generate glucosamine-6-phosphate. RNAcentral also lists the same sequence under 1 other name. Lineage: Bacteria; Bacillati; Bacillota; Bacilli; Caryophanales; Paenibacillaceae. The record is from Rfam by way of RNAcentral.